This is a long non-coding RNA of Pogonomyrmex barbatus (red harvester ant), 316 nucleotides long. The record is from RefSeq and is a predicted model, not a curated record. Lineage: Eukaryota; Metazoa; Arthropoda; Insecta; Hymenoptera; Formicidae.
AGAAAUUUCUUUCAUUUUACUAUAUCUUGAAUCCUAUCACAUUUUUUUUUAUCUUAUAGUCAAGAAAUUCAUUUUGCAUUGCAAAAUUUGCAACACUUUGCAGUCAAUCAUUUUAUUGAUUAUCCGUCUGUCAUAAUCCUUAACCUUAACCUUAAAUAUCCGUGCGACACUUUUAUAUAACCUCAGCAUGAACUUUAGGAUGUUAAGCAAACAUUUUACAACCUGUAUGCAACGGAUCUCAAAUCUGCAAGAUUGCAAAUAGCGACUAACCAUUGUAGUCUUACAGUAAUCUCCUAUCGAAAUAAUACUUUAAGAA